Molecule: ribosomal RNA, 253 nt
Filed under: uncultured bacterium
Lineage: Bacteria
Description: partial 16S ribosomal RNA
Rfam family: Bacterial small subunit ribosomal RNA
Source: RNAcentral
UACGGAGGAUCCAAGCGUUAUCCGGAUUUACUGGGCGUAAAGGGCGCGUAGGCGGCCUGUUAAGUCGAACGUGAAAUCCCCGGGCUCAACCCGGGAACUGCGUCCGAUACUGGCAGGCUUGAAUCCGGGAGAGGGAUGCGGAAUUCCAGGUGUAGCGGUGAAAUGCGUAGAUAUCUGGAGGAACACCGGUGGCGAAGGCGGCAUCCUGGACCGGCAUUGACGCUGAGGCGCGAAAGCCAGGGGAGCAAACGGG